UGGGGGAUAAGAAGUAGCUAGAAUGAUUUUGGUUGUUUGCCACUUUUUUUCUUCUUUAGAAAAGUAUGCCUUAGAUAAGAUUUAUUUACAACUUGCUAGACACACAAAUGCUUCUAUGCCAUUGUAUGUUGAUCUCAUCUCUUAUCUCCUUUUUUGGAGUUCUCACGUGGACCUCUUAAAAUAAAUAUUCUUUACUUGACAACAUACCUCCAAGAUUGUAC
RNAcentral lists this long non-coding RNA (221 nucleotides) under Solanum tuberosum (potato). RNAcentral describes it as "long non-coding RNA (STUB_LNC002698)". Lineage: Eukaryota; Viridiplantae; Streptophyta; Magnoliopsida; Solanales; Solanaceae. The record is from RNAcentral.